RNAcentral lists this ribosomal RNA (934 nucleotides) under uncultured bacterium. Its description in RNAcentral is "bacterial SSU rRNA". It matches the Rfam family "Bacterial small subunit ribosomal RNA", at positions 8 to 950 of the family's 1533-position model. The record is from RNAcentral.
AGAGUUUGAUCAUGGCUCAGGACGAACGCUGGCGGCGUGCUUAACACAUGCAAGUCGUGGGCAUCUCGCAAGAGGUGACCGGCGAACGGGUGCGUAACACGUGAGCGACCUACCGAUGCGCGGGGGAUAGCCGGCCCAACGGCCGGGUAAUACCGCAUACGCCAAUCGGGCCGCAUGGCCUGAUUGGGAAACCUCCGGGGCGGAUCGAGGGGCUCGCGGCCUAUCAGCUAGUUGGCGGGGUAACGGCCCACCAAGGCGACGACGGGUAGCUGGUCUGAGAGGAUGGCCAGCCACAUUGGGACUGAGAAACGGCCCAGACUCCUACGGGAGGCAGCAGUGGGGAAUAUUGCGCAAUGGCCGCAAGGCUGACGCAGCGACGCCGCGUGUGGGAUGACGCCCUUCGGGGUGUAAACCACUGUUGCCCGGGACGAACGAGGGGAUUUAUCCCCUGUGACGGUACCGGGUGAGGAAGCACCGGCUAACUCCGUGCCAGCAGCCGCGGUAAUACGGAGGGUGCGAGCGUUGUCCGGAAUCACUGGGCGUAAAGGGCGCGUAGGCGGCUUGGUAAGGGGGCGGUGAAAGCCCGGGGCUCAACCCCGGGUCUGCCGGACCGACUGCCGAGCUCGAGCACACUAGGGGCAGGUGGAAUUCCGGGUGUAGCGGUGGAAUGCGUAGAGAUCCGGAAGAACACCGGUGGCGAAGGCGGCCUGCCGGGGUGUGGCUGACGCUGAGGCGCGACAGCGUGGGGAGCAAACAGGAUUAGAUACCCUGGUAGUCCACGCCGUAAACGAUGGGCACUAGGUGCUCGGGGGAGCGACCCCUUGGGUGCCGGCGCUAACGCAUUAAGUGCCCCGCCUGGGGAGUACGGCCGCAAGGCUGAAACUCAAAGGAAUUGACGGGGGCCCCGCACAAGCGGUGGAGCAUGUGGUUUAAU